GAUGAACGCUGGCGGCGUGCCUAAUACAUGCAAGUCGAGCGAACGGACGAGAAGCUUGCUUCUCUGAUGUUAGCGGCGGACGGGUGAGUAACACGUGGAUAACCUACCUAUAAGACUGGGAUAACUUCGGGAAACCGGAGCUAAUACCGGAUGAUAUUUUGAACCGCAUGGUUCAAAAGUGAAAGACGGUCUUGCUGUCACUUAUAGAUGGAUCCGCGCUGCAUUAGCUAGUUGGUAAGGUAACGGCUUACCAAGGCAACGAUGCAUAGCCGACCUGAGAGGGUGAUCGGCCACACUGGAACUGAGACACGGUCCAGACUCCGACGGGAGGCCGCAGUAGGGAAUCUUCCGCAAUGGGCGAAAGCCUGACGGAGCAACGCCGCGUGAGUGAUGAAGGUCUUCGGAUCGUAAAACUCUGUUAUUAGGGAAGAACAUAUGUGUAAGUAACUGUGCACAUCUUGACGGUACCUAAUCAGAAAGCCACGGCUAACUACGUG
RNAcentral lists this ribosomal RNA (497 nucleotides) under uncultured bacterium. RNAcentral describes it as "partial 16S ribosomal RNA". It matches the Rfam family "Bacterial small subunit ribosomal RNA", at positions 28 to 507 of the family's 1533-position model. The record is from RNAcentral.